RNAcentral lists this ribosomal RNA (205 nucleotides) under uncultured Rhodococcus sp. Its description in RNAcentral is "partial 16S ribosomal RNA". It matches the Rfam family "Bacterial small subunit ribosomal RNA", at positions 287 to 509 of the family's 1533-position model. Lineage: Bacteria; Bacillati; Actinomycetota; Actinomycetes; Mycobacteriales; Nocardiaceae. The record is from RNAcentral.
CCGACCUGAGAGGGUGACCGGCCACAUUGGGACUGAGAUACGGCCCAGACUCCUACGGGAGGCAGCAGCUGAGAAUCUUCCACAAUGGACGAAAGUCUGAUGGAGCGACAUCGCGUGAGGGAUGAAGGCCUUCGGGUUGUAAACCUCGGAAAUUAUCGAAGAAUGAGUGACAGUAGAUAAUGUAAGCCUCGGCUAACUACGUGCC